Molecule: long non-coding RNA, 1244 nt
Organism: Sorghum bicolor (sorghum)
Lineage: Eukaryota; Viridiplantae; Streptophyta; Magnoliopsida; Poales; Poaceae
Exons: 3
Source: RefSeq, a predicted model, not a curated record
CUCUCCUUCAGUCCCUCUCUCCCUACCCGUGAGCCACCACCCCUCACCCUUCUUCACGCCGACCCUCCCUCCUUUUCCGCAGGCGUCAUCCCUCUCUAUCCACCUCCCCUUCAUGACCCCUCUCUCUCAUCGGCGUCAAGCAGCAGGGGCAAUGCAGCGGCGCACGGCGCCGGCAGUCCCACACCUCCUCAGCUCGCAUCCAUGUGCGCUCCCAAAUCCCAACAACAUGGGGUUCGGCACGCAUGGGGGCCGUAGCUCCCGACGGCGCACGUGGCCCCUCGCCCCAACCCAGCUCCGGCCUAAUCUCUCCUCUCCACCAACGACCUCUCAGAUCCCGACAGAGACGAGAGAGGUAGUGCAGACAGCAGCUCCAGCAAAGUGUGGGGAACCAGCAGCGGCUGCGGCGGGCUCAUAGGGCAGCAGCCUGACUCCUGUUGACGAAGAACACACCAAAGAUGAGCACGGGUAUUCGUUCUCUCUUUUUUCUUUGUUGGUACUCUGUGUGCUAAUUCUAUUUGUUGCCGCACUGAACUGCUAGUGGAUUUGGUUUUGGUCAUGAUUUGACAUAUCUUUUAGUGAAUUUGUUAUGGCAGGCUAGAUCUGGAGUGUUGCCUAUCUGCAUGGCUACAGUUCUGUGCACAGUUAAGCUGGUUAGGCUGAUCUGAUCUGAUAAAUUAUCGUAAUAUUUGUAUCAGGCGUCCUUUAUCUGGGCCUAAAACAUGAAGUCCAGUUAAGCUGGUUAGGCUGAUCUGAUCUGAUUUAUCAACAUGCAGAGGAUUGACAGGAUGCCCUCCUGUGGUGAAAUUGUUAUGAGUGUUCUCAGUUAUAAUUUAUUUGUUCUCUUUUUUAUAUUGCGAGGUGGAUUAUGAUACCUGCCAUUCCUUGGUGGAUUAAAGCGUUCAGGUGCUUCAUCUUGCUGGAUGUCUGGUGAGCACUAGUUGACAUCCAUCAGGCAUGCCUUCCUUGGUUUACAGAUAGCAGUAGCAACACUUCGACAAGGGAGACAAGUGCAUAGACCAAGAACCUGAUGCAAUGGAUUUUUUUUGAAGGAGUGCCGCUAUACUGCAAAAAAAAUUAAGCCUUGUCAUAGAUGUGAAGAUUGAAAAGGACUUACUUUUUUAGUUUUCCUAGGUUUUAUGGUGAUCAGACAUGUUGUGUUAAUGUACUGGAAUUUUUUUUAUAAAGAAUGUACUAGAAAUUGAGUUAACCAAAUUAUUGGGCUUUAUGUGAUUUUCAUUAUAUAA